AAAUUGAAGAGUUUGAUCAUGGCUCAGAUUGAACGCUGGCGGCAGGCCUAACACAUGCAAGUCGAACGGUAGCACAGAGAGCUUGCUCUUGGGUGACGAGUGGCGGACGGGUGAGUAAUGUCUGGGAAACUGCCCGAUGGAGGGGGAUAACUACUGGAAACGGUAGCUAAUACCGCAUAACGUCUUCGGACCAAAGUGGGGGACCUUCGGGCCUCACACCAUCGGAUGUGCCCAGAUGGGAUUAGCUAGUAGGUGGGGUAAUGGCUCACCUAGGCGACGAUCCCUAGCUGGUCUGAGAGGAUGACCAGCCACACUGGAACUGAGACACGGUCCAGACUCCUACGGGAGGCAGCAGUGGGGAAUAUUGCACAAUGGGCGCAAGCCUGAUGCAGCCAUGCCGCGUGUAUGAAGAAGGCCUUCGGGUUGUAAAGUA
RNAcentral lists this ribosomal RNA (433 nucleotides) under Serratia fonticola. RNAcentral's name for it is "bacterial SSU rRNA". It matches the Rfam family "Bacterial small subunit ribosomal RNA", at positions 1 to 432 of the family's 1533-position model. The record is from RNAcentral. Lineage: Bacteria; Pseudomonadati; Pseudomonadota; Gammaproteobacteria; Enterobacterales; Yersiniaceae.